GACGAACGCUGGCGGCGUGCUUAACACAUGCAAGUCGAACGGAAAGGCCCUGCUUUUGUGGGGUGCUCGAGUGGCGAACGGGUGAGUAACACGUGAGUAACCUGCCCUUGACUUUGGGAUAACUUCAGGAAACUGGGGCUAAUACCGGAUAGGAGCUCCUGCUGCAUGGUGGGGGUUGGAAAGUUUCGGCGGUUGGGGAUGGACUCGCGGCUUAUCAGCUUGUUGGUGGGGUAGUGGCUUACCAAGGCUUUGACGGGUAGCCGGCCUGAGAGGGUGACCGGCAACAUUGUGACUGAGAUACGGCCCAGACUCCUACGGGAGGCAGCAGUGCGGAAGAUUGCACAAUGGGCGGAAGCCUGAUGCAGCAACGCCGCGUGCGGGAUGACGGCCUUCGGGUUGUAAACCGCUUUCGCCUGUGACGAAGCGUGAGUGACGGUAAUGGGUAAAGAAGCACCGGCUAACUACGUG
RNAcentral lists this ribosomal RNA (468 nucleotides) under uncultured bacterium. Its description in RNAcentral is "partial 16S ribosomal RNA". It matches the Rfam family "Bacterial small subunit ribosomal RNA", at positions 28 to 507 of the family's 1533-position model. The record is from RNAcentral.